GCCUACGGGGGGCAGCAGUGGGGAAUAUUGCACAAUGGGGGAAACCCUGAUGCAGCGAUGCCGCGUGGAGGAAGAAGGUUUUCGGAUUGUAAACUCCUUUUAUAAGGGAAGAAAGGUGAUAGGAGGAAAUGACUAUCAAUUGACGGUACCUUAUGAGAAAGCCACGGCUAACUACGUGCCAGCAGCCGCGGUAAUACGUAGGUGGCAAGCGUUAUCCGGAAUUAUUGGGCGUAAAGAGCGCGCAGGUGGUUAAUUAAGUCUGAUGUGAAAGCCCACGGCUUAACCGUGGAGGGUCAUUGG
Molecule: ribosomal RNA, 300 nt
Filed under: uncultured bacterium
Lineage: Bacteria
Description: bacterial SSU rRNA
Rfam family: Bacterial small subunit ribosomal RNA
Source: RNAcentral